Molecule: ribosomal RNA, 326 nt
Filed under: uncultured eukaryote
Lineage: Eukaryota
Description: partial 18S ribosomal RNA
Rfam family: Eukaryotic small subunit ribosomal RNA
Source: RNAcentral
CCCUUAGAUGUUCUGGGCUGCACGCGCGCUACACUGGUGCACUCAACGAGUUUACGACCUUGCCCGAUAGGGUUGGGUAAUCUUUUUAAAAUGCAUCGUGAUGGGGAUAGAUUAUUGCAAUUAUUAAUCUUCAACGAGGAAUUCCUAGUAAGCGCGAGUCAUCAGCUCGUGCUGAUUACGUCCCUGCCCUUUGUACACACCGCCCGUCGCUCCUACCGAUUGAGUGCUCAGGUGAAUAAUUCGGACUGCAGCAAUGUUUGGAUCCCGAACGUUGCAGCGGAAAGUUUAGUGAACCUUAUCACUUAGAGGAAGGAGAAGUCGUAACA